GUAUUAUCAUGAAUUCCCUACAAGCACUUCACAAGAAGCUAUUCCUAGGGCUAUUGUGAAGUGUUUGGGGGAACUCUUGAUGUCAC
Molecule: non-coding RNA, 86 nt
Organism: Brachypodium distachyon (stiff brome)
Lineage: Eukaryota; Viridiplantae; Streptophyta; Magnoliopsida; Poales; Poaceae
Source: Rfam